This 1339-nucleotide long non-coding RNA is filed under the name Manihot esculenta (cassava). RNAcentral's name for it is "long non-coding RNA (MESC_LNC004218)". The record is from RNAcentral. Lineage: Eukaryota; Viridiplantae; Streptophyta; Magnoliopsida; Malpighiales; Euphorbiaceae.
UGGCUUUUCUGCUCCUUUCAAAUAGGGGAGCUCCCUUUCUAACAGCUUAGUGUCCCGUCACCUGUAAGUUAGUUUGUUAAAUUGCCUAACUUCAAGGUUUGCGGCACUUAAGUCUUUUUUAUAAGCUAAUGGGCUAGUUUUUGGGAUUAUAGUUUUUGGGAUUCUUUGUAAUAUCUUUCUUGUAAUUUCUCCUAAUUGUAAUAAAGUUGAUUUUUCCCCCAAAUGACUCUCCUUAAGGCAUGUUUAGCUUCCUUCACCCAUGUUAAUUAGUCUCUUGCAACAUCUUUUCUAACCUUCCACAAUCCUUUCCAACCCUCUCAAGUAUUAUGUUCCUUUCGCUUGUGCCGCUCUUUGAUCUUGAGCUUCUUGAGUUGAACUAAGGUAAGUCCCAUAGUCUUGUAGCUCCUUGAAUUGAGUUUGGUUGGAAUCCGUAGUCUUGUAGCUCCUUGGAUUGAGUUUGGCUAGAAUUUGGUGGUAAGCCUGACUUAGUCUUGAGGGAAGGCUAAGUGUCGCAUGGUUCUGCACCAUUUUGGAGCUGUUUGUGUGUUGAUUACAAAAGGGUCGUGACACUGGACGUGGAUUGCCCUUACCACCACCGUUUUUGGUUUUUUUUAUUGGAUCUAGUUUUGUGAUGAUAGGAGGUGGUUUUAUGAGAAGGAGCAUUUUGUUUUCCUAUUGUUUUUCUAUAGAGGUGGCUAGAUCGAAGAGAGAAUUCCUUUAUGGGUGGGUACCUCUAAGGGUUGGUACGUAGCAUAUUGCUUUCAUGGUGACCCUUCAACAUAGAUGGCAUAUGGAGCUCUGAUUGUCACCCUCUCGCGGUGGCAUUUCAUCCGUAACCUCUUUCUUGGGCGGUUCUAAUCCCCCCACCUUGCUCCACCUCAUCCAUGAUGACAUUAGGCUUGGAAGCUCCAUAACUUUGGCUCCAAUCUCACCAUCGAUGAUAGGGAAAGGCUUUUCAAGUUGGGUUUUUUGUUCCCCAUUAUGCUGUUAGCUGCUUGGCUCUAUAGAUAGAGCCUUGCUUUCUUUCACUUGUUGUCUUUUUCCUCCUGUGUUGAUGGUGUGGUCUGUGGUUGCUAGUCUUGGUGUCUAUAUGUCUUUUUCUAGUUGGGAUUUUUGAUGUGGAGUUGUGUUGCAUCUCCGAUGGCUCUAAAUGUUGAUAUCAUUGUACCUAAUGGCUGGUGUUGACAAGCAAUAAAGAGCUUCUUCCAAAAUCUCCAGCUCAGUUAGGGUUUGGGGAUGACAAGCAAAGUUAUGGGUUUGGGAUGGAUGUAAGCGGUGGGUCUUAUUUGGGAGCCUUAUUUCUAUUUUCCAAGCUUGUCUUAUGUUAUUCGCGCUUAAG